UGUAUGUGUGUGUGUGUGUGCAUGCGCAUGUGUGUGUGCACUUCUGCCCAUGCACACACACACACACACACACACACACACACA
RNAcentral lists this microRNA precursor (84 nucleotides) under Mustela putorius furo (domestic ferret). Its description in RNAcentral is "miRNA (ENSMPUG00000022377.1)". Lineage: Eukaryota; Metazoa; Chordata; Mammalia; Carnivora; Mustelidae. The record is from RNAcentral.